Physeter macrocephalus (sperm whale) is the source of this 5229-nucleotide long non-coding RNA. RefSeq lists it as uncharacterized. The record is from RefSeq and is a predicted model, not a curated record. The transcript is spliced from 3 exons. NCBI's taxonomy places the organism in Eukaryota, Metazoa, Chordata, Mammalia, Artiodactyla, Physeteridae.
CGCAGAGCGGCUGGGCCCGUGAGCCAUGGCCGCUGAGCCUGCGCGUCCGGAGCCUGUGCUCCGCAACGGGAGAGGCCACGACAGUGAGAGGCCCACGUACCACAAAAAAAUAAAAUAAAAUAAAUAAAUAAAAAACAAAACUAAACAAAACUGCCGUGAUGCUGAUAAAGAAUGAAUGUUCAUCUUAGCUAUGGUGGUGGCAUGGUGCCCUGCAGAGUCGUUGAAAGGCAUUGGGUGUGGUCAUUCUGUGGGUGUCAGUGGCACGGUGUGGAGGCUCUAAGCUGGCAAAGUUCUGUGGGUUUUUGUGAGGUGCCUAUUCAGGACACUUGGUUCAUACCAGGUCAGCAAGCUCUGCUGAUGUUCCCUUUCAGAUCCUAGACACUGCCAGGUUCUCUUUUUCUCUAGGGCUUUUGGUUGUGAUUGACCAGUGACCUUGGGCUCAGGACUCUGAUCCCCCAGACUAAUUCACGCUCAACAAAUACAUCUUGAUGUAUUUGUGGGCCAAGCCUGAUGCUGAUGAUAGUGUUAAUUAUGACAAUAAAAAAUAUAGCAUCCAUAUGGCAGCUUAGAAAGGCACUCAUACCCAAUCCCCUCUGCUGUCAGCAGAAAAUGAAAAUGCCCAUCUCAAGAUGCCUAGAAGGGAACAGAAAUCACCCAGGUGGUAUGUGCAGAAGGAGGGGUGUAUGUCAAAGCUAGGAAGGGGCUGCCCCCUUUACAAAAGAGCCUGGAGAGAUUUGAGUGAAUGCAUUCAUGUUAGCUCUGGGUAUUUCUGAACGUCAGCCAGGAGAGCUAAUUCUCUGAUACUGUCAUUUCCCAUGCCUCCAUCUCAAUACAUACGUGUAUCUCCUCGAGUCUCUGCACAGAUAUCUGUCCCUGCAAAAAAGAAGCUCUCCUAAGAGCCCAGAGUGGAGACUCAGUGUUUUAUAUUUUCAUAAUUUCAUGCAUAAAAGAAUCGGUAGAGAGUGUAUUUAUCAGUUUUGCUGCAUAACAAAGAACCCCCCUACUCCCUAGAUCUCAGUGCUCAUAAUCAGUAAAAUUUAUUUUCCUUUCAUUUUACGUGAUGCCUGCAGUCAGCAGGGCCUCUGCUUCAGGCUGUGUGUUGACUAUGGGUCAGUUCCAUAGGGUUUUGUUUGUUUGUUUGUUUGUUUUUGCUUGCUUGCUUGCUUGCUUGAUUGAUUAUUUUUGGCUGUGUUGGGUCUUCGUUGCUGCACACGGGCUUUCCCUAGUUGCGCUGAGUGGGGGCUACUCUUCGUUGCUGUGCGCAUGCUUCUCAUUGCGGUGGCUUCUCUUGAUGCGGAGCACAGGCUCUAGGUGUGCGGGCUUCAGUAGUUAUGGCAUUUGGGCUCAGUAGUUGUGGCACACAGGCUUAGUUGCUCUGCAGCAUGUGAGAUCUUCCCGGACCAGGGCUCAAACCCAUGUCCCCUGCAUUGGUAGGUGGAUUCUUAACCACUUUGCCACCAGGGAAGUCCUCCAUAGGCUUUUUUGAUCUGUGACUGCAUUGGAAGGAACAGCCCCAAAGCACAAUGGGCAGUUCUGGCAGAAGGCGAGAGUCUAAGAAAGCAACCUCAGGUAUGCAGUCACCUUAGACUUUUGCAGGGUGUGGCUCACAGUCCACUGGCCAAAGAAAUCCAAUGGGCCAAAUCUAACAAUAGAAUUGAGAAAUUCACUGGCCCUGCAGGGAGGUGUGGCAAGGGUUUGUAUGCACAAACCUUUUACAGAAGACUGAAUUGUAAUACAAAUCAUCACAAGGGUUUUCUAAGCAUGCCAAUUCCAGGGCCCAUCUUCAGCUAUUUUAAUUCAAUCGGUCAGAGUAAGUAAUAACAGUAGUAGUAUUAAGAAUAAUAAAAUCAAUGGCUAGCGUUACUGUUUGCCUUUUAUGAGCCUGACACUGUGUUAAGUACUUAAACUCAUGAUGUUUAGUUUGAUCCUACGAUCUCUCUCUGAAAUAGGAACAAGUGUGAUCUCCGUUUUACAGGUGAGGAAACAGAAGCUCAGAGAGGUUCAGAGACUUCCCCAGGUCACACAGCUAGUAAAUGGUAGAGCAGGCAUAUGGAUCUGUGGAGUGGAACUUCUGAGCCCCAAGUCUUUUUCAGUUUCCCAGUUUUCCCAUCUCUCUCCUGCCUCAGGACCUUUGCACUUCCUUUCACCUCAGCCUUUAUAACAUUUCCUUCCAUUCAUUCACUUCAUUUCUCAAGUUUCAAGUGGAAACGUCACUUCCUCAGAGAGGCUCCCUGACCUUGGCCCCUGACUGAUCCACUUUGUGGGUCUCCUAGAUUUUCUAAGCCUCUUCUGAUCUUCUGUACUGGGGCGACUUUCUUGAUGGGCAGCCCAACCUCCUGAGUAUCACCUGGCCUCCUAACACCUCAGGCUGUCUCAGCCUUCCUCAGGGAAGGCAGGAGAUGGGAACGAGCCAAUAGAUAAAUUUCUCUCCCUUCCUCCUCCUGGACAAGCUGUCCAAGUUUUCCCAUCUGGCCCAUCGUCUGAUCCAUUGGCUGUACUUUCUUGCAAGGCUGGUGCCAGCUUGGUAAACAGCACCUUACAUCUGCUUUCCCUCAUUCCUUGCCUCGCUGCCCUGGACUCCACUUCCCAAUAAAGCCUUUGCAAGUAAGCUUUACUGCAGGCUCUGCUAUCUUGGAAAUCCAGCCUAAGGGACGACCCCCGCCCCCCCCACCUCCUACUUACACUUGACCCCCACUUUUCUUUAUCUAAUACCCUUUACCCUGUACUUUUCUCUCACAGCUUUUCUCAUACAACUGGUAAUCAUAUAUAAUAUGCACUUUUUUUUUGUCCUCACCAUGCAGCUUGUGGGAUCUCAGUUCCCUGACCCAGGCCCAGGCAGUGAAAGCACCGAGUCCUAACCACUGGACCGCCAGGGAAUUCCCAAUGCAGUGAUGCAGUGUUUUUUUUUUUUUUUUUACCACUGUGUUCUCCGCACUUGGUGCAUGCCCAGCACAUAGCAGUUGAUCAACAAAUAUUAGUAAAUGAAUGUACAUGUCUAGGCUUGAGUCCUUGCUUUGUCGGUGUUGCUUUUUUGUAGGUUGCUAAAGGUCUCUAUGCUUCGUUUUGCUUCCUUUUUGGGAAAGUGAGACUGGGUAUCUGUUUCAGAGGUUCUGAGACCAAAGUGUGUUGAUCAGUGCAGAUGUUCAAUAACUGAUCAUCAUUGCCGACACUGUUAAACUAGACCAGCGAUGGGCAAUCUUUUCCUAUAAAGGGCCAGAGAGUAAAUAUUUUAGGCUUAGCAGGACAAAUGAUCUCUGUCACAAAGACUCAACUCUGCCAUCGUGGUGUAAAAGCGGCCAUAAACAAUAUCGAAACAGGUGGGCUUGGCUGUGGUCCAAUAAAACCAUAUUAGCAAAAACAGGGUGAUAGGCCAGAUGGGCCCUCGAGUUGUACUUUGCCGGCCUCCGCGCUAUACAGUCUGAGCAGUGUGAAUCUAAAAGUUCGUAGUAAGCCACGUCAACAGAUUGCAAAUAUUCGUGAACUUUCUAGGCAACGCUUAUCUCUGCAUUUCUUUCCAGUGUUAAACACGUGCGAUAUUUUCCUGGCAGUGACAGUGUACUUUCAGGGAAAUCUGUGUUUUCAGAGUUUGUGUUUGUUUACAAUCUUUCUCUAACAAGUGUGAGUGGUGAGAGUCUCCCCACAUAUUUCCUCUCUAACUCCUUUUUCCCUGGUAAUGGUGUACCUUCUUAACCUACCUCCAGAGCUAGUCUGUGGAGAGAAAACUUGGAAUUUGGGAGACUGGAACUUUACUUGUCUCUCAGGUAGAAACUUUGUUAUAUAGCAAAUCUAUUUAGAGUGAGUGGUUUCCUAGAAAAGAUGUGAAAGAAAUGAUCCACUUAAAAAAAAUUAGUCAAGUCUUUGGAAGAGGACAGAUUUUUUAUAUAUAAACAUAUAUAAAAUGGGGUCAAGAAAAGAAGUCUGCUUUAGAGAGACCAUUAGUAGUUUUGUAGGCCUUCCUCAGUGUCAGGUAUGUGGGAGAGGGACCAGGAUACCAUGAUUGAUGGUUCAUCCAGAACUACGUGGAAUGUGGUUCCCCACAGGAAAACUGAGGUGCUGUUAACAGAAGAAGCGGGGAAGGGAUGCUAGAGAUGAAAAAUUGCAGCUGGUGUGGGUAAGUAGGAGGUGGCUGUCUCACCUUUUUCCUGUGAGCAUCAGCUCACCUCUGUUGUGCUGAUGAAAAAAGAUAUUGUGGAAAGCAUCUUAUCCAUCACCUGGUACCAAAUAGAGCUGGAAUAAAUGGAUGCUACAGGUUUUCAUGUUUCUUUAUUGUAAUUAUGGAUAAAACACGCCACGCCACACAUCCUAAGAAGGAUUAAGCCCAUCUGAGCUGAUCACAUGUUUGCUAGACUCUGAUGCAAUCACCAAGGGCCCAUGCGCUGCACAUCUUUCUGUUCUUCCGUCCUUAGAGUUUUGACAAUGACUCUCCUCAUGGUUGCAACAUGGCUGCCUCAGCUUCAAGCAUCAUGUCUUCUUAAGACAUCGUUUCAGAUAGGAAAGGAGGGAAUGUGUGCGAAAAGGGCUCCUUUCAUGUAUUAGGGAGGGAAUCUUUCCAAGAAGGCCUCCUCCUUACGUGCCGUUGACCAGAAGUAUGUCACAUGUCCAGCCCCAAACCCGUCUCCGGCAAGGCGAAUGCAGUUACUAUGGUUAGCUGUAAAGAAUCGUGAUUCAUCCACUGGGGCUGGAACAAGGAAAGGGUCAUGGCCAUGGGGCAGGCAGUACUUCCUUUGGCAUCUCUCUUUCCUUCUCAUGGCUAGAGAACAUGUCUGUUUUGUUCACAGUUCCUAACCCAGUGCCUGACCUAAAACAGGCACUCAAUAUAUAUUUGUUGGGGAAUGAAUAAAGUAAUGGAUGAAUAUAUUGACUAGAUUGUCCUUUUUUCUCAUUUAUUCUGGUUUCCUCAUUUCUCUGAGUCUGGCUGUCCUGGAGCUAUUCUUCCUGUCUGAAGAUGAGCCUUCCCAAAUUUGGUAACAUGAUUGCUCAUUUGGAGAGAAGCAAACUGCGUAUUGUGGGCAGACCACGUGGUUAAGUAACUGAUGACUCUGAUCCAUAGCCAGCAAAGACCUGAGACCUGCCAAUAGCCAGAUGGAUUCCUCUCCAGUGGCUUGUGACACUGCUUCAGGAAGACUUUCCCAACACCUGAAGAAUUUCUAUGUUCCUUUUCCCAGUCUGGGAUGUCUACUGACCAUAUUGCCAGCUUCUGGACCUGUUGUGUCUGGGAUGCAGGCUGAA